UAAAAUUUUGAUAAUAAGGUGCAGAUGCAUGAAGUUGAAUUUCAUCUUAAUAAAAUUCUAGUCAUGGUGUCUGAGGAGUCUUGGUCUUUUGAAAGGUGAAUACUUAUAUAUUUAAUGCUUCUUUUGGUUCCUUUAUGGGUGCUCACUGCUCACUUUAAAAAUUACCUAUUACUACAUUGAUGGAGAAUUUGUUUGUUGGAUUUUAAGAAAUUUGAAAAUUUUUUCUCUAUUGUUACUCUAUAUAUAGAUCUGUUUAUGUUCUCUUGUUUAAGCCGUAGAUUGUAUGAACGAUUUCAAAUGGGAUAGAGCUGUAGAGGUGGUCCUUAUUUGUGUUGCUAGUUGGUAUCAAAAACAUUAACUGAUCCAUCUCAGUAGGGUUUGGAAAUAGUGGAAAAUUAUUUAUUUGAUUUUUUAGACUGAUGUUGCUUUUUCUUAUUAUAAAAGCUCAACAUAAAAUUGCUGGAACCCUCCAAAUUCUCUGUUUUUGAGUUCUUAUCUUUGUGGUGCAUUACAGGCAAGAGGGUUGAAGAAACACUUGAAGAGGCUUAAUGCCCCAAAACAUUGGAUGCUUGACAAACUUGGCGGUGCAUUUGCCCCAAAGCCAUCAUCUGGUCCUCACAAGUCAAGGGAAUGUUUGCCUUUGAUCCUUAUUUUGCGGAAUAGGCUGAAGUAUGCUCUUACAUAUCGUGAAGUUAUUGCUAUUUUGAUGCAGCGGCAUGUUCUUGUUGAUGGGAAAGUUAGGACAGAUAAAACAUACCCUUCUGGUUUCAUGGAUGUUGUGUCAAUUCCAAAGACAAAUGAGAACUUUCGUCUCCUCUAUGACACUAAGGGCCGUUUUCGUCUCCACUCCAUCAGAGAUGAUGAGGCAAAGGUUUGUGUUCUAUUUUUGCAUAUGCCUACUGAUUUUGAUUAUACUUUAUUUCUGUAUCAUGCAUAUGACUGCUUGGCACUAAUUUUUUUGAAAUACCAAGAAUUAUAUAAGUAAAAUACUAAAAUUUUUGUUUUUCAUGUUUUUAUUUUGCUUGUAAGUGUUUUCAUUCAUGUUUUAAUGGUAUGCAGUUUAAGUUGUGCAAAGUCAGAUCUGUUCAGUUUGGUCAAAAAGGGAUCCCAUACCUGAACACCUAUGAUGGGCGCACCAUCCGCUACCCAGAUCCACUUAUCAAGGCUAACGAUACCAUCAAGCUAGACCUAGAGAGCAACAAGAUCACUGAGUUCAUAAAGUUUGAUGUGGGAAACGUUGUUAUGGUCACGGGAGGUAGAAACAGGGGGCGAGUUGGAGUCAUCAAGAAUAGAGAGAAGCACAAGGGGAGUUUUGAAACUAUACACAUUCAAGACGCCACUGGUCACGAGUUUGCUACUCGCCUGGGCAACGUCUUUACAAUUGGAAAAGGGAGCAAACCAUGGGUGUCUCUACCCAAGGGUAAGGGUAUCAAGCUGUCAAUCAUUGAAGAGGCCCGGAAGAGGCUUGCUGCUGCCCAAACUGUUGCUUAGAAAUUUAUGGAAAUUUGUGUGUUGCUGAAGUUACUGAUGUUGGCCUUAGUGUCAGUCUUUGCUUUUUUUAGCUACUUGUUUUGAUCUUACGCCAAACCAGUACUAGAGCUUUAUUUUUAUCAUCUAUGGGCACAAUUUUGAACUAUACUUGUUUUUGAAUGUCAAUUAGCUUUUCAUUGGUGAAGGUAGUCUGAAUGUUACUCAAAGCAUGAAUAGUUUGUGUUGGUGAAUAGUUUCAGGACCUGAGUUGUUUAAUGCAUGUAACUACCAUGGAAAACUUGGGCAUGUUGGUUACUCUGAUGGGCAAAUAGGGUCUAUGAUUAAAUUAUUAUUUCAUAAUUCAUGAGCUUUCUUAGACUCAACAGUU
Molecule: unclassified non-coding RNA, 1858 nt
Filed under: Hevea brasiliensis (rubber tree)
Lineage: Eukaryota; Viridiplantae; Streptophyta; Magnoliopsida; Malpighiales; Euphorbiaceae
Source: RNAcentral